GUGGGGAAUUUUGGACAAUGGGCGCAAGCCUGAUCCAGCAAUGCCGCGUGCAGGAAGAAGGCCUUCGGGUUGUAAACUGCUUUUGUACGGAACGAAACGGCUCUGGUUAAUACCCGGGGCUAAUGACGGUACCGUAAGAAUAAGCACCGGCUAACUACGUGCCAGCAGCCGCGGUAAUACGUAGGGUGCAAGCGUUAAUCGGAAUUACUGGGCGUAAAGCGUGCGCAGGCGGUUUUGUAAGACAGGCGUGAAAUCCCCGGGCUCAACCUGGGAAUUGCGCUUGUGACUGCAAGGCUGGAGUGCGGCAGAGGGGGAUGGAAUUCCGCGUGUAGCAGUGAAAUGCGUAGAUAUGCGGAGGAACACCGAUGGCGAAGGCAAUCCCCUGGGCCUGCACUGACGCUCAUGCACGAAAGCGUGGGGAGCAAACAGGAUUAGAUACCCCUGUAGUCC
RNAcentral lists this ribosomal RNA (450 nucleotides) under uncultured bacterium. Its description in RNAcentral is "partial 16S ribosomal RNA". It matches the Rfam family "Bacterial small subunit ribosomal RNA", at positions 354 to 796 of the family's 1533-position model. The record is from RNAcentral.